AUACUUAUUAGGACCGGUAACGUUGUUCUCCUCCUAGCGCCUUUGUACGUUACACGAGAAAAACAAACAGUCUAGUGGCAUAAGUGUAUGGAUUUUAUUUUUCUACCAUGAGGCAAUCGUAGAAAUCGAAAGAACUGUUUCAACUUCGUCCGAGUUUCUUAUUUUUGAGAUGUACAGUUGUGAAUUGGUCUACAAGUUUCAUUCACGUACUCUGCCUACUGGAAACUUAAAUUCCUUACCUUGUUUACUCAGUGUGCGCUCUUUCCUCCAGGAUUUUCACACUUCCACAUUUACUACCGUAUGAUUUGAUACAUGAGUAGACAUUGUGGUAAGAAAGAAUGCAACACUGCACAGUAUGCCUCAGUUAAACAGGUAGUAGGCUUCACUUGGCAAAUUACAUUCUGUUUUGUUAUUUUAAUUUCUGAAAUAAGCUCGUCUUGUUCUCAAUUAAUGUUUGACAGCAAUUGUUGUCACAGUACCUUAAAGUAACCAAUUUCUUUUACUAUCUUUAUUUGAAGCAUAUUUGCUUUCUAUUUAGUAGGUAGUGUAGCUUUCAGCAAUUGGUGUAAAGAAAAAAAAAAACACUUGUAAUAUUAUCUUUUAGUUUUUACUGUUACAAAGUUUGUGUGGAUCGGUCAUGGAUUCCAUAAUCUGUAGAAAGCCAACUUUUUGAUUUUUAGUAAGCAAUUUUUAUUUUGACAUUUUUGUAGAAAUAGCUAGCCUUGUACCUGUAGGAAAUUGGCAAGAUAAGUUUUCAAUGUUAUCUAUUCUACCUUACUAUGUAAAAUAACACACAAUAAAACUGAUACAUUUAUAAGUGUGGUGUAUUAUCCUUUCUUAGGCAGAGCCAAAGUUGU
Molecule: long non-coding RNA, 857 nt
Organism: Frankliniella occidentalis (western flower thrips)
Lineage: Eukaryota; Metazoa; Arthropoda; Insecta; Thysanoptera; Thripidae
Exons: 3
Source: RefSeq, a predicted model, not a curated record